RNAcentral lists this long non-coding RNA (773 nucleotides) under Homo sapiens (human). Its description in RNAcentral is "HSALNT0034717". Lineage: Eukaryota; Metazoa; Chordata; Mammalia; Primates; Hominidae. The record is from RNAcentral.
GCUAAAACAGCCUCCUUAAAACAGGCAAGCAGAAAAACCAUAUACGCAAAAGGAGGUGCCAAACCUGACAACAUAAGCUCACAUGGCUCCUGGACAUAGGAUGACUGGCCAUUUGGAAUGUCACAAAGGACUCCAGCUGAGUGAAAGGCAUUGUCUCUUCUGGGCAUUUGUAUUUAGAAUACAAACAUUGUAUUUGGUCUCUAUAGAUGUUGAAACUGGAAGAUCAUACAAAACCAAAAACAAAGAUAUUGGAUAGCAAUUCAACUGUAAUGUACAGAAAUGCAUUAAGAAAAAAUGCAUAUGUAAGGAAAAAUAAAGCCAAGAAAAAUCAGAAUUAAAUUUUUACUUUUUACACUUAGUUCCUCUUGAGAACCCUAUCUUCUUCAAGCAAACUCCCCAUUUACUAGUUAAAGCAAAUUUCUAAACCUUGAAACUAAAUUACCCCAACUGUAAUAGGACCUUAAUAUCAAUAAGCUCAGGUUUCUUACUUAACAAACAAAUGGAGAAAUUGUAACCCAAGCAGGGGCAAAGGAAUCCUCUAGAGUAACAGAAUGACUCAGCCAUAACUGGGUUUCAGAUCACCAACUCCGAAAAUAUUCUGUCUCCAUUAUCUGAUAUUGUCUCUUCAUUCUAAUUAUUUAAGAAAUUGAGAAAAGUUUAUAAAUUCAUUCUUACUCUACCAUUGAUAAAAAGGUAUUGAGGCCGGGCACGGUGGCUCACGCCUGUAAUCCCAGCACUUUGAGGGCCAAGGCAGGCGGAUCACGAGGUCAGGG